This 497-nucleotide ribosomal RNA is filed under the name uncultured bacterium. Its description in RNAcentral is "partial 16S ribosomal RNA". It matches the Rfam family "Bacterial small subunit ribosomal RNA", at positions 28 to 507 of the family's 1533-position model. The record is from RNAcentral.
GAUGAACGCUGGCGGCGUGCCUAAUACAUGCAAGUCGAGCGAACGGACGAGAAGCUUGCUUCUCUGAUGUUAGCGGCGGACGGGUGAGUAACACGUGUAUAACCUACCUAUAAGACUGGGAUAACUUCGGGAAACCGUAGCUAAUACCGGAUAAUAUUUUGAACCGCAUGGUUCAAAAGUGAAAGACGGUCUUGCUGUCACUUAUAGAUGGAUCCGCGCUGCAUUAGCUAGUUGGUAAGGUAACGGCUUACCAAGGCAACGAUGCAUAGCCGACCUGAGAGGGUGAUCGGCCACACUGGAACUGAGACACGGUCCAGACUCCUACGGGAGGCAGCAGUAGGGAAUCUUCCGCAAUGGGCGAAAGCCUGACGGAGCAACGCCGCGUGAGUGAUGAAGGUCUUCGGAUCGUAAAACUCUGUUAUUAGGGAAGAACAUAUGUGUAAGUAACUGUGCACAUCUUGACGGUACCUAAUCAGAAAGCCACGGCUAACUACGUG